RNAcentral lists this small nuclear RNA (104 nucleotides) under Carlito syrichta (Philippine tarsier). Lineage: Eukaryota; Metazoa; Chordata; Mammalia; Primates; Tarsiidae. The record is from RNAcentral.
GUGCUCACUUCAGCAGCACAUAUGCUAAAAUUGGAACAAUACAGAGAUUAGCAUGUCCUCUGAACAGGGAUGGCAUGCAAAUUUGUGAAGCAUUCCAUAUUUUA